AUUGAACGCUGGCGGCAGGCCUAACACAUGCAAGUCGAACGGUAGCACAGAGAGCUUGCUCUCGGGUGACGAGUGGCGGACGGGUGAGUAAUGUCUGGGAAACUGCCCGAUGGAGGGGGAUAACUACUGGAAACGGUAGCUAAUACCGCAUAACGUCGCAAGACCAAAGUGGGGGACCUUCGGGCCUCACACCAUCGGAUGUGCCCAGAUGGGAUUAGCUAGUAGGUGGGGUAAUGGCUCACCUAGGCGACGAUCCCUAGCUGGUCUGAGAGGAUGACCAGCCACACUGGAACUGAGACACGGUCCAGACUCCUACGGGAGGCAGCAGUGGGGAAUAUUGCACAAUGGGCGCAAGCCUGAUGCAGCCAUGCCGCGUGUAUGAAGAAGGCCUUCGGGUUGUAAAGUACUUUCAGCGGGGAGGAAGGCGGUGAAGUUAACAGCUUCACCGAUUGACGUUACCCGCAGAAGAAGCACCGGCUAACUCCGUGCCAGCCGCCGCGGUAA
RNAcentral lists this ribosomal RNA (504 nucleotides) under uncultured bacterium. RNAcentral describes it as "partial 16S ribosomal RNA". It matches the Rfam family "Bacterial small subunit ribosomal RNA", at positions 30 to 523 of the family's 1533-position model. The record is from RNAcentral.